CAGAGAAUAGUUUAAAAAAAUAUUAGUUUUGGGAAUUAAAGUUAAAGAAAAAUUCUUUUUCUCUGA
Molecule: transfer RNA, 66 nt
Filed under: Pachygrapsus marmoratus (marbled crab)
Lineage: Eukaryota; Metazoa; Arthropoda; Malacostraca; Decapoda; Grapsidae
Description: tRNA-Pro
Rfam family: tRNA
About the family: Transfer RNA (tRNA) molecules are approximately 80 nucleotides in length. Their secondary structure includes four short double-helical elements and three loops (D, anti-codon, and T loops). Further hydrogen bonds mediate the characteristic L-shaped molecular structure. tRNAs have two regions of fundamental functional importance: the anti-codon, which is responsible for specific mRNA codon recognition, and the 3' end, to which the tRNAs corresponding amino acid is attached (by aminoacyl-tRNA synthetases). tRNAs cope with the degeneracy of the genetic code in two manners: having more than one tRNA (with a specific anti-codon) for a particular amino acid; and 'wobble' base-pairing, i.e. permitting non-standard base-pairing at the 3rd anti-codon position.
Source: RNAcentral